Molecule: transfer RNA, 71 nt
Filed under: Pseudoglomeris planiuscula
Lineage: Eukaryota; Metazoa; Arthropoda; Insecta; Blattodea; Blaberidae
Description: tRNA-Leu
Rfam family: tRNA
About the family: Transfer RNA (tRNA) molecules are approximately 80 nucleotides in length. Their secondary structure includes four short double-helical elements and three loops (D, anti-codon, and T loops). Further hydrogen bonds mediate the characteristic L-shaped molecular structure. tRNAs have two regions of fundamental functional importance: the anti-codon, which is responsible for specific mRNA codon recognition, and the 3' end, to which the tRNAs corresponding amino acid is attached (by aminoacyl-tRNA synthetases). tRNAs cope with the degeneracy of the genetic code in two manners: having more than one tRNA (with a specific anti-codon) for a particular amino acid; and 'wobble' base-pairing, i.e. permitting non-standard base-pairing at the 3rd anti-codon position.
Source: RNAcentral
UCUAAUAUGGCAGAAGCAGUGCAUUAGAUUUAAGAUCUAUAAAUAAAGUUUAUAUCAAUCUUUUAUUAGAA